GAUGAACGCUGGCGGCGUGCCUAAUACAUGCAAGUCGAGCGAACGGACGAGAAGCUUGCUUCUCUGAUGUUAGCGGCGGACGGGUGAGUAACACGUGGAUAACCUACCUAUAAGACUGGGAUAACUUCGGGAAACCGGAGCUAAUACCGGAUGAUAUUUUGAACCGCAUGGUUCAAAAGUGAAAGACGGUCUUGCUGUCACUUAUAGAUGGAUCCGCGCUGCAUUAGCUAGUUGGUAAGGUAACGGCUUACCAAGGCAACGAUGCAUAGCCGACCUGAGAGGGUGAUCGGCCACACUGGAACUGAGACACGGUCCAGACUCCUACGGGAGGCAACAGUAGGGAAUCUUCCGCAAUGGGCGAAAGCCUGACGGAGCAACGCCGCGUGAGUGAUGAAGGUCUUCGGAUCGUAAAACUCUGUUAUUAGGGAAGAACAUAUGUGUAAGUAACUGUGCACAUCUUGACGGUACCUAAUCAGAAAGCCACGGCUAACUACGUG
Molecule: ribosomal RNA, 497 nt
Filed under: uncultured bacterium
Lineage: Bacteria
Description: partial 16S ribosomal RNA
Rfam family: Bacterial small subunit ribosomal RNA
Source: RNAcentral